RNAcentral lists this ribosomal RNA (873 nucleotides) under Pantoea dispersa. RNAcentral describes it as "bacterial SSU rRNA". It matches the Rfam family "Bacterial small subunit ribosomal RNA", at positions 268 to 1161 of the family's 1533-position model. The record is from RNAcentral. Lineage: Bacteria; Pseudomonadati; Pseudomonadota; Gammaproteobacteria; Enterobacterales; Erwiniaceae.
CUAGGCGACAGAUUCCUAGCUGUCGACGAUGACAGCCAUGACUGAACCCGGUUCCACUCUACGGAUGCAGGCAGUGGGGAUACUGCCAUUGCGCGCCAAGCUUGAUGCAGCAUGCGUAUGUAUGAGCAUGCUUCCGGAUGUAAGCUACUUUCAGCGAGGAGAGGCGUGAGUCAAUCACUCGCCGAUGACGUUACCGGCAGAAGCAGCACUGCUAACUCCGUGCCAGCAGCCGCGGUACUACGGAGGUGCAAGCGUUAAUCGGAAUUACUGGGCGUAAGCGCACGCAGGCGGUCUGUUAAGUCAGAUGUGAAAUCCCCGGGCUUAACCUGGGAACUGCAUUUGAAACUGGCAGGCUUGAGUCUCGUAGAGGGGGGUAGAAUUCCAGGUGUAGCGGUGAAAUGCGUAGAGAUCUGGAGGAAUACCGGUGGCGAAGGCGGCCCCCUGGACGAAGACUGACGCUCAGGUGCGAAAGCGUGGGGAGCAAACAGGAUUAGAUACCCUGGUAGUCCACGCCGUAAACGAUGUCGACUUGGAGGUUGUGCCCUUGAGGCGUGGCUUCCGGAGCUAACGCGUUAAGUCGACCGCCUGGGGAGUACGGCCGCAAGGUUAAAACUCAAAUGAAUUGACGGGGGCCCGCACAAGCGGUGGAGCAUGUGGUUUAAUUCGAUGCAACGCGAAGAACCUUACCUGGCCUUGACAUCCAGAGAACUUAGCAGAGAUGCUUUGGUGCCUUCGGGAACUCUGAGACAGGUGCUGCAUGGCUGUCGUCAGCUCGUGUUGUGAAAUGUUGGGUUAAGUCCCGCAACGAGCGCAACCCUUAUCCUUUGUUGCCAGCGAUUCGGUCGGGAACUCAAAGGAGACUGCCGGUGAUAA